Molecule: ribosomal RNA, 486 nt
Filed under: uncultured bacterium
Lineage: Bacteria
Description: bacterial SSU rRNA
Rfam family: Bacterial small subunit ribosomal RNA
Source: RNAcentral
AUUGAACGCUGGCGGCAGGCCUAACACAUGCAAGUCGAGCGGAUGAAGAGAGCUUGCUCUCUGAUUCAGCGGCGGACGGGUGAGUAAUGCCUAGGAAUCUGCCUGAUAGUGGGGGACAACGUUUCGAAAGGAACGCUAAUACCGCAUACGUCCUACGGGAGAAAGCAGGGGACCUUCGGGCCUUGCGCUAUCAGAUGAGCCUAGGUCGGAUUAGCUAGUUGGUGAGGUAAUGGCUCACCAAGGCGACGAUCCGUAACUGGUCUGAGAGGAUGAUCAGUCACACUGGAACUGAGACACGGUCCAGACUCCUACGGGAGGCAGCAGUGGGGAAUAUUGGACAAUGGGCGAAAGCCUGAUCCAGCCAUGCCGCGUGUGUGAAGAAGGUCUUCGGAUUGUAAAGCACUUUAAGUUGGGAGGAAGGGCAUUAACCUAAUACGUUAGUGUUUUGACGUUACCGACAGAAUAAGCACCGACUAACUUCGUGCC